UUCUUGUGAUAAAUUCUGUCCAGUUCUGUUACUGAAGGAAGAGAUGAAAAACCAAAUAAUAUAGAA
This 66-nucleotide small nucleolar RNA is filed under the name Carlito syrichta (Philippine tarsier). The record is from RNAcentral. Lineage: Eukaryota; Metazoa; Chordata; Mammalia; Primates; Tarsiidae.